This 431-nucleotide long non-coding RNA is filed under the name Vigna radiata. Its description in RNAcentral is "long non-coding RNA (VRAD_LNC003848)". Lineage: Eukaryota; Viridiplantae; Streptophyta; Magnoliopsida; Fabales; Fabaceae. The record is from RNAcentral.
AAUUCUACAAAAGGAGGGGUGUGCCUAACAUAAAAGGGGGUGACAUUAGUGUUUACUCUUUCAUAGGCACCUAGCAUAUUUUACAUGUGUUUUAAUAAAGCUUUCUAGAAGCCACACAUUUAGCACAUUGGUAGUAUUAGCAUCUCAGAUCUGAAACGUGUAAAAUGCCUUGAGAUUGAUCUAUAAAAUCUCAUAGGCAAAGCUUGUAGCUCACUUUUGGAAAUAUUGAAAAGAAAUUCUACUCAUGAAAGCACAAUUCUCUCAACCGAAAGUCAUUCUCCUUGCUUGUACUCCAUUGCUACUUUCUUCCAUUAUGGAGGCCUUCUGAAGUAGUUAACCACUCAUUCAAGCUUGCCUUCACCUCACCUUACCAUAAUCACCAUCAUUCCGCUGCAACCAUUCCUUGAAUCUCACCAAAACCGAGAGUUACU